UACAUUAUAGGCAAAUCUACUUUUAAAAAUUAAAAGUGGGGGGCUUAAUUUGACUCCGAAGUACUUUAGCAUAACUUUAAACAAAUAAGGCUUUGCCUCUUAAAAAACCAUCUAAACUCCCAAACCACAAGUUAAACCAUGAGAACCUCCUUUAAUUUGAAAAAACUUCCUCCCAAGCAACAAAGAAGGCAAACACACAGGAGAUAAAAGUUUCAUGUAUGUAUAG
Molecule: unclassified non-coding RNA, 226 nt
Filed under: Hevea brasiliensis (rubber tree)
Lineage: Eukaryota; Viridiplantae; Streptophyta; Magnoliopsida; Malpighiales; Euphorbiaceae
Source: RNAcentral